Molecule: ribosomal RNA, 891 nt
Filed under: uncultured bacterium
Lineage: Bacteria
Description: bacterial SSU rRNA
Rfam family: Bacterial small subunit ribosomal RNA
Source: RNAcentral
AACGAACGCUGGCGGCGUGCCUAACACAUGCAAGUCGAGCGAGAAAGCCCGCAAGGGUGAGUAAAGCGGCGCACGGGUGAGUAACACGUGGGUAAUCUGCCCUAGAGUCCGGAAUAACUCGCCGAAAGGCGUGCUAAUGCCGGAUGAGACCACGGGAGCCUCGGCUCCUGCGGGAAAAGGUGGCCUCUGUACACAAGCUAUCGCUCUGGGAUGAGCCCGCGGCCCAUCAGCUAGUUGGCGGGGUAACGGCCCACCAAGGCUACGACGGGUAGCUGGUCUGAGAGGACGAUCAGCCACACUGGAACUGAGACACGGUCCAGACUCCUACGGGAGGCAGCAGUGGGGAAUCUUGCGCAAUGGGCGAAAGCCUGACGCAGCAACGCCGCGUGUGUGAUGAAGGUCUUCGGAUCGUAAAGCACUGUCGCGAGGGACGAAUAAGGGUCGGGCUAACAUCCCGGCACGAUGACGGUACCUCGAGAGGAAGCACCGGCUAACUCUGUGCCAGCAGCCGCGGUAAUACAGAGGGUGCAAGCGUUGUUCGGAAUUAUUGGGCGUAAAGCGCGUGUAGGCGGCUUUGCAAGUCGGAUGUGAAAGCCCUCGGCUUAACCGAGGAAGUGCGUUCGAAACUGCCGAGCUUGAGUACCGGAGAGGGUGGCGGAAUUCCCGGUGUAGAGGUGAAAUUCGUAGAUAUCGGGAGGAACACCAGUGGCGAAGGCGGCCACCUGGACGGAUACUGACGCUGAGACGCGAAAGCGUGGGUAGCAAACAGGAUUAGAUACCCUGGUAGUCCACGCUGUAAACGAUGAGCGCUAGGUGUUGUGGGUGUUGACCCCCGCAGUGCCGCAGCUAACGCAUUAAGCGCUCCGCCUGGGAAGUACGGCCGCAAGGCUA